This 253-nucleotide ribosomal RNA is filed under the name uncultured bacterium. Its description in RNAcentral is "partial 16S ribosomal RNA". It matches the Rfam family "Bacterial small subunit ribosomal RNA", at positions 524 to 776 of the family's 1533-position model. The record is from RNAcentral.
UACGUAGGGUGCAAGCGUUAAUCGGAAUUACUGGGCGUAAAGCGUGCGCAGGCGGUUUUGUAAGCCGGAUGUGAAAUCCCCGGGCUUAACCUGGGAAUGGCAUUCGGGACUGCAAGGCUGGAGUGCGGCAGAGGAGACUGGAAUUCCUGGUGUAGCAGUGAAAUGCGUAGAUAUCAGGAGGAACACCGAUGGCGAAGGCAGGUCUCUGGGCUGACACUGACGCUCAUGCACGAAAGCGUGGGGAGCAAACGGG